ACUCCUACGGGAGGCAGCAGUGGGGAAUAUUGCACAAUGGGCGCAAGCCUGAUGCAGCCAUGCCGCGUGUAUGAAGAAGGCCUUCGGUUGUAAAGUACUUCAGCAGUGAGGAAGGUGGGUAGUGUUAAUAGCAUACUCAUUUGACGUUAGCUGCAGAAGAAGCACCGGCUAACUCCGUGCCAGCAGCCGCGGUAAUACGGAGGGUGCGAGCGUUAAUCGGAAUUACUGGGCGUAAAGCGCAUGCAGGUGGUUUGUUAAGUCAGAUGUGAAAGCCCGGGGCUCAACCUCGGAAUUGCAUUUGAAACUGGCAAACUAGAGUACUGUAGAGGGGGUAGAAUUUCAGGUGUAGCGGUGAAAUGCGUAGAGAUCUGAAGGAAUACCGGUGGCGAAGGCGGCCCCCUGGACAGAUACUGACACUCAGAUGCGAAAGCGUGGGGAGCAAACAGGAUUAGAUACCCUGGUA
RNAcentral lists this ribosomal RNA (463 nucleotides) under uncultured bacterium. Its description in RNAcentral is "bacterial SSU rRNA". It matches the Rfam family "Bacterial small subunit ribosomal RNA", at positions 335 to 792 of the family's 1533-position model. The record is from RNAcentral.